This is a long non-coding RNA of Alosa sapidissima (American shad), 966 nucleotides long. RefSeq lists it as uncharacterized. NCBI's taxonomy places the organism in Eukaryota, Metazoa, Chordata, Actinopteri, Clupeiformes, Clupeidae. The transcript has 9 exons. The record is from RefSeq and is a predicted model, not a curated record.
GAGACAAAGUCCUGUGUAGAGACAGGAAAGGAGGACAAAGGAAAGCGCAUCAUUGUUAAACCCAAAAAGUUUACUCACAACGUUGGGAAAAAAACACAGAAAAAAAAGAGAAGAAACAAGUUCAACAUUCGAAGACUUCCCUUCCUCCAGCACCCCAGACAGGACUAUCCACUCCACGGCCUAGUAGUUCAUAUCUAAGUCCACAGCCUAGCCCACAGCACCCCCCUCAACAAUACGCUUCACAACCUGCGGCUGAUGACGAUGACUCGCUUCCAUCUUCACCGGCGAGACAGUAUACAGACAAUGAUGAUUAUUCGAUUCCUUCUUCGAUCGAACCACCAUCGCCAAUCUACACUGGUGACGGUGACCGAAGAGAAACCAUGCCCAUCUGGGCAAAGAAUAUCAACGCGACAUUGGAGGUUCUGCUUAGAAAAAUGGAAACUAUGGAGCAGAACCAAAGAGAGGCUCUACGUUUGCUUCAUGCAAAACAACAUGGGGACCCUGGGGAAGCUACUGUGGAGUUAGAGCAAGCACAAACUCAGGCCGAACUUAAUCAACUCGAAGAGCACAUUAAAAAUAGGGAUUUCACAAAAAAAUGAUUUCCCAUCUGAGCCUGGUUGGUGGGUCCAAUCCUGGGGAGUGUGUGAGGAGGGUGUUGCGCUCUGUGGCCUCCAACUAUGUGUGGAGCAGCUACAGCCUUAGGGGGAAAAAGGGGAAGAUGCCACUGCUUGGCACAGCAGUGGGCAGUACCAUUAAACAGGCGAUCAUGAAAUGGAAGCCAGGGCUGGGAGAGAAGGACGUGGAGCUGCUGAUAGCAGAGGUCCUAAAACAUGCCCCUGCAGCCCACUCCAAAAGUUUAAAGGGUCGGAUGGAACAGCAGGUGGAAGACCAUCCGCAAAAUUGAAUUUUUUUUAAAUAAAAUAUAAUAAAUUGAUAUUUGUUAGUGUACAGCAGUCUUUUCUUUUG